UGUUUAAGUAUCGCACUUUGUCGUUCGUUGUGAGAAUUUGAUCUCGUGAGUUAUCGUAAUUGUUGUAUUAAGUUACCUACCUAGUUCGUAUGCACUAGGUUACAAGGCUAGAUCAAUAGGCUAAGCUCUGCCUGUAUAAAUCUGCAAUAUAUCAAGGCUUAUCUGUAGACUAAACUUUGGCCGUAUGAAUCUGCAUGAUUAUAAUGUAAUUACAGUACGUUGGAAUAAGAAUUGGAUCCGGCACCGAAGGCAUCAAGAAGUGGCUUAUUUUAUUAAUUAAAUCAAAUUAAGAAAUAUUGUUUUUAUUAAAAGCUACCUUUGUAAAACAUGGAAUUUAUUCCAUCUAUU
RNAcentral lists this long non-coding RNA (348 nucleotides) under Helianthus annuus (common sunflower). Its description in RNAcentral is "hypothetical non coding rna". The record is from RNAcentral. Lineage: Eukaryota; Viridiplantae; Streptophyta; Magnoliopsida; Asterales; Asteraceae.